RNAcentral lists this ribosomal RNA (334 nucleotides) under uncultured bacterium. RNAcentral describes it as "partial 16S ribosomal RNA". It matches the Rfam family "Bacterial small subunit ribosomal RNA", at positions 338 to 670 of the family's 1533-position model. The record is from RNAcentral.
CCUACGGGAGGCAGCAGUGAGGAAUAUUGGGCAAUGGGCGCAGGCCUGAACCAGCGAAGUCGCGUGAGGGAAGACGGCCCUAUGGGUUGUAAACCUCGUUUAUAAGGGAAGAAGAAUGACUACGUGUAGUCAGAUGCCCGUACCUUAUGAAUAAGCAUCGGCUAACUCCGUGCCAGCAGCCGCGGUAAUACGGAGGAUGCGAGCGUUAUCCGGAUUUGUUGGGUUUAACGGGUGCGUAGGCGGUAUUUUAAGUUAGUGGUAAAACGUCGGGGCUGCACCUUGAUUGGCCAUUGAGACUGGAGUACUAGAGUACAGAAGAGGUAGGCGGAAUAAG